CCUUUGACGUUAGCGGCGGACGGGUGAGUAACACGUGGGUAACCUACCUAUAAGACUGGGAUAACUUCGGGAAACCGGAGCUAAUACCGGAUAAUAUUUCGAACCGCAUGGUUCGAUAGUGAAAGAUGGUUUUGCUAUCACUUAUAGAUGGACCCGCGCCGUAUUAGCUAGUUGGUAAGGUAACGGCUUACCAAGGCGACGAUACGUAGCCGACCUGAGAGGGUGAUCGGCCACACUGGAACUGAGACACGGUCCAGACUCCUACGGGAGACAGCAGGG
RNAcentral lists this ribosomal RNA (279 nucleotides) under uncultured Staphylococcus sp. Its description in RNAcentral is "partial 16S ribosomal RNA". It matches the Rfam family "Bacterial small subunit ribosomal RNA", at positions 83 to 354 of the family's 1533-position model. The record is from RNAcentral. Lineage: Bacteria; Bacillati; Bacillota; Bacilli; Caryophanales; Staphylococcaceae.